CGAGUGGCGGACGGGUGAGUAACGCGUGGGUAACCUGCCUUACACAGGGGGAUAACACCUGGAAACAGGUGCUAAUACCGCAUAAGCGCACAGGGCCGCAUGGCCCGGUGUGAAAAACUCCGGUGGUGUAAGAUGGACCCGCGUCUGAUUAGCUUGUUGGCGGGGUAGAGGCCCACCAAGGCGACGAUCAGUAGCCGGCCUGAGAGGGUGGACGGCCACAUUGGGACUGAGACACGGCCCAAACUCCUACGGAAGGCAGCAG
RNAcentral lists this ribosomal RNA (262 nucleotides) under uncultured bacterium. Its description in RNAcentral is "partial 16S ribosomal RNA". It matches the Rfam family "Bacterial small subunit ribosomal RNA", at positions 92 to 354 of the family's 1533-position model. The record is from RNAcentral.